Molecule: microRNA, 23 nt
Filed under: Pristionchus pacificus
Lineage: Eukaryota; Metazoa; Nematoda; Chromadorea; Rhabditida; Neodiplogasteridae
Description: ppc-miR-8313-3p
Source: miRBase by way of RNAcentral
CCCUAGUAGUUAUUUGCGGAUCA